AAUUAAGAUUUUAUUUUUUAUUUAAGUUUUUUAUUUUUAAUAAAAAUAAUUUUUUUUUUAGUUUAUUUUUAAAAAAAUUAUUUUAAUUAUAGUUUAUUGUACUGUAUAGGAUUAAUUUUUAUUAUAUAAAAGUAUUUUUAUUUUAAAUUACCUUUUGUAUCAGGGUUUAUUAAUUUAUUUUAAUUAAUUUGAUUUUCCCGAAAUUAAAGGAUUUAUUUUAUAAUGAUUUUGUUUGUGUCAAAACCUUUUUUUAUUAUAAUAUAGUGGUGAUAUGCUUUUCAUUUUUAAAUAUCUGGUUUUUUAAUAAUUGAAUUUAAUUCAGCUUUAAUUGGUUUUUAAAUAAUUUUAUUUAGUAAAAUACAUUAUUGUACUAUUGUGAGGGAUAAGCUUUGCAGUUAUUUUAUAAUAUUCAUAUUAAUGAAUUUUUAUAGGCUUAUAAAUAGCUAUUAUUUAUUUUGUUAUAAUUAAUUUUCUUAUUAAUUUGAUUUAUUUUUAUUUAAAUUUUUAUUAAAAAGAUUUUUUUAAUUUUUUAAAAAUUAAUAUAAUGAUGAAAUUAGUAUUUUUAUAUUUAAAAUAUAGGAAUUCGGCAAAUAUUACUUUCGCCUGUUUAACAAAAACAUGUCCUUUUGUAAUUUAUAUAAGGUCUAACCUGCUCAAUGAUUUAUUAAAUGGCCGCGGUAUUUUAACCGUGCAAAGGUAGCAUAAUCAUUUGUCUUUUAAUUGAAGGCUGGAAUGAAUGGUUGGACGAGAAGUAUACUUUCUUUAUUUUAUAAUAAUGAAUUUAAUUUUUUAGUUAAAAAGCUAAAAUUAUUUUAUGGGACGAGAAGACCCUAUAGAACUUUAUUUUUAUUAAAAUAAUUAUUUAUUAGUUUAUAUUUAAAUAAUUAUGAAAAUAUAAAUUAUGUUGGGGUGAUAGGAAAAUUAUUUUAACUUUUCUUAAUUUUAUUCUCACUAAUUAGUGAUUUAUUGAUCCAAAAGUUUUGAUUAAAAGUUUAAGUUACCUUAGGGAUAACAGCGUUAUUUAAUUGGAGAGUUCAUAUCGAUAAUUAAGUUUGCGACCUCGAUGUUGAAUUAAGAUUAGUUUUGGGUGUAUCAGUUCAUUAUACUAGGUCUGUUCGACCUUUAAAUUCUUACAUGAUUUGAGUUCAGACCGGCGUGAGCCAGGUCGGUUUCUAUCUUUAAAUUUUUAUAAUAUCUUAGUACGAAAGGACCAUUUAUUAAAAUUAAUAUUUUAAUAUUUUUGAUUAAUAUU
RNAcentral lists this ribosomal RNA (1252 nucleotides) under Aphelocheirus jendeki. RNAcentral describes it as "16S ribosomal RNA". The stretch from base 1008 to 1167 matches the Rfam family "Archaeal large subunit ribosomal RNA", at positions 2542 to 2701 of the family's 2987-position model. Lineage: Eukaryota; Metazoa; Arthropoda; Insecta; Hemiptera; Aphelocheiridae. The record is from RNAcentral.